AGAUUGCCUUGGAUCCAUGGCAGAGUCAUCCCAGAUUGAAGUGAAACAUGUUGCUCCUCAGUUGCUUCGAAAUCUUCCCCAAAGAACAUGGAUAUUUGAUCUCUGACUGCUCCACUGAAUGUUGCACCGAGCCAUUUAUUUCCUUCUGGUUACAUUUCAAUAGGAUCAGAAAAAUCCCAGCUCCCUGGCAAACAAUGUUUCAGCACAUUUAAACUAUUAGUUGGAGGAUCAAGUACAGUAUGCCAUUUUUGACCCAGAUUCAAGUGUUAAUUAACCCUCUGUAUAAUAUUCUCAUAUCUAUAACUCUUCUGCUUCAGUUUCUUGCCCUAGGAAGGGUUGACCUUGAUAUAAGCACUUAAUAUUUAACUGCAGCAAGAAAG
Non-coding RNA from Podarcis lilfordi (Lilford's wall lizard), 380 nucleotides. The record is from the annotation of a GenBank genome assembly. NCBI's taxonomy places the organism in Eukaryota, Metazoa, Chordata, Lepidosauria, Squamata, Lacertidae.